CCCAUGUCUCUACUGUAGCUUCCAGGCCGUUUCCCCGGGGAUCCAAUGUGUUUCCUGUUGUCCCCAAUCUUUUAAAUUUUUUUCCAUUAUUAGGGUUAGUGCCAGCAGCCAGGGUGGAACUGUAAUUCGUGAAGAUUGCGUCGGCUUGCUUUGAAAGAAUGGUAUCUGUACGCGUCCCUUAACCACUCGAGGGGCACCAUCAGGCUUGUGGGUCAUGCUGGGAAGUGGCCCGGCUGCCUGUGACAGUUUCUCAGCCAGGCAGGGACUCUUUUCCACACGAUGACAUUGGAACUGAAUGCCACACUCCUCCUUGGAAGAAAAAAUUGUGUAUAGGACAAGGACUCAGGAUAUGGGUGUGGAAGAAUCUCUGUGGUACGAGCCCAGCCUGGAAGAACUCUUAGGCUGCGUGGACGCUGCCCAGCCACGGUGACGGAGCUGUUCCAAUGCCUGCUUCCCGAGACAGGCCCAUGAAAUCAUGCAGGCUUGAGCCCGGCUUCUAAAAGGAGCACACCACUGGCCAGGGUGGCUGGUGGAAACCAGCCCUGGCCAAGGGAGCCCCGGCCAGGCUGUCAGGUAGGCAGCAGGCGGCAGGGGGGUUAAUGUGGGGAGCGGGCAGGGGUGGGGUGGAAAGCCAGCUGGGGAAAUGGGGGCUGCAGGGCCCAGCCCGACCAGGCACAGACACAGGGGGCUCUGUCUGCUUGCCCGCUGCCCUGGCACUGUGACUAACCGCCCCACUAUUGUGAGUCUGAAGUCAGCCCUUUGUGUCGUCCCCUGGCGUCUGGGAGCACAGCCGAAGAACCCUUUCCAGCAGCCCCCCUCAUUCUGGAACCUGCAGCCCCAACAUCCAUUCUUUCAGCUCUCAGGGUUGCUGGGGGCCGAUGAGCCAGUGGAAGUAUCCCUUUCCCCGGCCAGGAAGGGCCACCAGCAAAAAAGAAGCAGAAAACCAGUCUCCCCUACUCUGGGUGGGGAAGUGGGGGGUACAGGGGCCUACUAAACCUACGUGCCCGCCAUGGUAGCUCCUCCUCACAGGCAGCAAAUGAGCCACUGAAAUGCGGAGAGGCCAAAUCGAAUAUGGAAAAAAUGGCAAAAUAUCCUGUUCACAGUUUCAUACAAGCAACACACUGAAAUAGGAUUUUGGAAAUUUCUAUUAGAUUAAAAUGAAUUUUAGUACUAAAGUGAA
This 1180-nucleotide long non-coding RNA is filed under the name Pongo abelii (Sumatran orangutan). Its description in RNAcentral is "lincRNA". Lineage: Eukaryota; Metazoa; Chordata; Mammalia; Primates; Hominidae. The record is from RNAcentral.